This is an RNA transcript of Penaeus chinensis, 1028 nucleotides long. It is a transcript of the gene named caltrin-like protein 2, with no coding region annotated. The transcript has 7 exons. Lineage: Eukaryota; Metazoa; Arthropoda; Malacostraca; Decapoda; Penaeidae. The record is from RefSeq and is a predicted model, not a curated record.
UCCUUGUGAUCAUCGACACCCCUUAUUUAAGUCCAGUUCACUGUUGCUGCCGACACAGAUACUCGAGUCUGCGGUGGAAAAGAGACCUCUACUUCUCGUCUGCGAAAUGGCCUCGUUCGCAUUGCGCUUGUGUUUUGUUCUGGCUGCUCUGCUGAUGGCUAGUUUUGUUUGUGGAACACCCUUCUUUGAAGAAAAGCCUGGCCUAUGCCCCAGGCUCAAUGCCCCCCAAAUACCUGGCCAUGAGAACCCUUGUAGCAGUGACUAUGACUGUCCAAGGGUUCAGAAGUGCUGUCUCGUUGGAUCACCUUCAGCCAACGCUAAAAUAUGUGCAGAGCCCUAAAUUGCCCACUGACUGGCAACUGCUUUUGGAUUUAUAACAGUUCAGCCGAUGCAUAGAUUAGGUUAAAUAUGCAGGCACACUUACAAUCAAACAUAUUAUCUACUUUUCUUCGAAGUAACGGAACAUGUGGGUUCCACAACAACGACCAUUGCAUCAUACCACCGGAUCCUCAGUAGAUAAAAGGCAGCACGUGGGCCCCUAUAGCUUCAGUUCAGAGCCGCUUCUCGUCGCUUGCUCAUCCUGUCUAGUUGAUUGGGAUUUCCAUGAUGACUUUCCGAGGAAUGAAUGCCUGCGUGGUGUGCGUCGCCGUGAUGCUUACGCUGACAAGCACCGUGCAGGCGGGUCCUACAUACAAAGAGAAGCCCGGAUCGUGUCCGCUCUUCCCGGCUCCUCCACCUCCCCGGGACGGCCCGUUUUCCCUUGGCGCUCGUGCUGACUUCACACCGGAUCGCAAGUCACGUCACUUGCCGCUCUGAUUUCGACUGUGUUGGCCGUAAGAAAUGCUGCGCGACUGGCGCUUGUUGUGGUACGGUGUGUACUGAACCGUGGGAUUGAUUUCAUCACUGAUAACAUCAUGGUUAUUAAGAGUCAACUGCCUUGAAGAUAACCAUGGUUCAGCGUGAGCGAUCGUCAUAUGUCUGUAAUGGUAAAGAUUGUUGAUCCUUCAGAAUAAAAUUUGAAUAAAUAA